AGAGUUUGAUCAUGGCUCAGAGCGAACGUUAGCGGCGGGCCUAACACAUGCAAGUCGAACGAGAAUGUAGGCUUCGGUCUACUAGUAAAGUGGCGGACGGGUGCGUAACACGUGGGUAAUCUACCUUCCGGCGGGGGACAACAGUCCGAAAGGAUUGCUAAUACCGCAUACGUCAGCGGCGCCUACGGGCGCUGUUGGGAAAGACGGCCUCUCCUUGGAAGCUGUCACCGGAAGAUGAGCCCGCGUCCCAUCAGCUAGUUGGUGAGGUAACGGCUCACCAAGGCUUAGACGGGUAGCUGGUCUGAGAGGAUGAUCAGCCACACUGGGACUGCGACACGGCCCAGACUCCUACGGGAGGCAGCAGUGGGGAAUAUUGGGCAAUGGGCGAAAGCCUGACCCAGCCACGCCGCGUGAGUGAUGAAGGCCUUCGGGUCGUAAAGCUCUGUGGGGAGGGACGAACAAACUUGGGGCUAAUCACCCAGGUCCUGACGGUACCUCCUUAGCAAGCACCGGCUAACCCUGUGCCAGCAGCCGCGGUAAUACAGGGGGUGCAAACGUUGCUCGGAAUCAUUGGGCGUAAAGCGCACGUAGGCGGUUCGUUAUGUCGGAUGUGAAAGCCCUUGGCUUAACCGAGGAAGUGCAUCCGAAACUGGCGAGCUAGAGUACUAAAGAGGAUCGCGGAAUUCCCGGUGUAGAGGUGAAAUUCGUAGAUAUCGGGAGGAACACCGGUGGCGAAGGCGGCGAUCUGGGUAGAUACUGACGCUGAGGUGCGAAAGCGUGGGGAGCAAACAGGAUUAGAUACCCUAGUAGUCC
Molecule: ribosomal RNA, 813 nt
Filed under: uncultured bacterium
Lineage: Bacteria
Description: bacterial SSU rRNA
Rfam family: Bacterial small subunit ribosomal RNA
Source: RNAcentral